This 375-nucleotide ribosomal RNA is filed under the name uncultured bacterium. RNAcentral describes it as "bacterial SSU rRNA". It matches the Rfam family "Bacterial small subunit ribosomal RNA", at positions 523 to 898 of the family's 1533-position model. The record is from RNAcentral.
AUACGUAGGGAGCGAGCGUUGUCCGGAAUUACUGGGCGUAAAGGGUGCGUAGGCGGCAUGGCAAGUCAGGUGUGAAAUCCCCGGGCUUAACUCGGGGGGUGCAUUUGAAACUGCUUAGCUUGAGUGCAGGAGAGGAAAGCGGAAUUCCUAGUGUAGCGGUGAAAUGCGUAGAUAUUAGGAAGAACACCAGUGGCGAAGGCGGCUUUCUGGACUGUAACUGACGCUGAGGCACGAAAGCGUGGGGAGCAAACAGGAUGAGAUACCCUGGUAGUCCACGCUGUAAACGAUGGAUACUAGGUGUGGGGGAGAUACAACCUCUGUGCCGGAGCAAACGCAAUAAGUAUCCCGCCUGGGGAGUACGGUCGCAAGGCUGAA